GGAGGGUUCGCAUAGUGGUCUAGUGCGCCGCCUUGGAAAGGCGGUAUGCUCGAAAGAGCAUCAAGAGUUCAAAUCUCUUACCCUCCG
This 87-nucleotide transfer RNA is filed under the name Candidatus Nomurabacteria bacterium. Its description in RNAcentral is "tRNA-Ser". It matches the Rfam family "tRNA". Rfam says of the family: Transfer RNA (tRNA) molecules are approximately 80 nucleotides in length. Their secondary structure includes four short double-helical elements and three loops (D, anti-codon, and T loops). Further hydrogen bonds mediate the characteristic L-shaped molecular structure. tRNAs have two regions of fundamental functional importance: the anti-codon, which is responsible for specific mRNA codon recognition, and the 3' end, to which the tRNAs corresponding amino acid is attached (by aminoacyl-tRNA synthetases). tRNAs cope with the degeneracy of the genetic code in two manners: having more than one tRNA (with a specific anti-codon) for a particular amino acid; and 'wobble' base-pairing, i.e. permitting non-standard base-pairing at the 3rd anti-codon position. The record is from RNAcentral. Lineage: Bacteria; Candidatus Nomuraibacteriota.